AAGCGCAGCUUAACAUGCAAGUCGAACGGCAGCACGGGAGCAAUCCUGGUGGCGAGUGGCGAACGGGUGUAGUAAUAUAUCGGAACGUGCCCAGUCGUGGGGGAUAACGCAGCGAAAGCUGUGCUAAUACCGCAUACGAUCUAUGGAUGAAAGCGGGGGAUCGCAAGACCUCGCGCGAUUGGAGCGGCCGAUAUCAGAUUAGCUAGUUGGUGGGGUAAAGGCCCACCAAGGCGACGAUCUGUAGCUGGUCUGAGAGGACGACCAGCCACACUGGAACUGAGACACGGUCCAGACUCCUACGGGAGGCAGCAGUGGGGAAUUUUGGACAAUGGGCGCAAGCCUGAUCCAGCAAUGCCGCGUGCAGGAUGAAGGCCUUCGGGUUGUAAACUGCUUUUGUACGGAACGAAACGGUCCUUUCUAAUACAAGGGGCUAAUGACGGUACCGUAAGAAUAAGCACCGGCUAACUACGUGCCAGCAGCCGCGGUAAUACGUAGGGUGCGAGCGUUAAUCGGAAUUACUGGGCGUAAAGCGUGCGCAGGCGGUUAUGUAAGACAGAUGUGAAAUCCCCGGGCUCAACCUGGGACCUGCAUUUGUGACUGCAUAGCUAGAGUACGGUAGAGGGGGAUGGAAUUCCGCGUGUAGCAGUGAAAUGCGUAGAUAUGCGGAGGAACACCGAUGGCGAAGGCAAUCCCCUGGACCUGUACUGACGCUCAUGCACGAAAGCGUGGGGAGCAAACAGGAUUAGAUACCCUGGUAGUCCACGCCCUAAACGAUGUCAACUGGUUGUUGGGUCUUC
RNAcentral lists this ribosomal RNA (797 nucleotides) under uncultured bacterium. RNAcentral describes it as "bacterial SSU rRNA". It matches the Rfam family "Bacterial small subunit ribosomal RNA", at positions 37 to 832 of the family's 1533-position model. The record is from RNAcentral.